AAGCAAUAGCUGAUUGCAUUUAUUUAAAUUAAUGUAGUUACUACUUGGUAGUUUAAAUUUCUAGGUAGAAUUAUGAUGAUGACAUUAUCUAUCUAUUAGUCUUGACCAAAUUACGUGCCAGCAGUCGCGGUAAUACGUAGAAGACAAGUGUUAUUCAUCUUUAUUAGGUUUAAAGAGUACCAAGACGGUUAMUAAAGCCCAAWAUARAUGAAUACGGGGGACACAUUAACUAGAGUUAAUAUGAAAAUGAAAGCUAGAAGGUACUGUUGAKUGUAGAGAUGAAAAUUCAAUGAUACCAGAUGAUUGGCACAGAUUAAUGCGAAGGCAUCUUUCUUAUGUAAUAACUGACGUUGUAGGACGAAGGCUUAGGGAGUGAACAGGAUUAGGUACCCCAGUAAUCUAGGCAGAAAAUGAUGAAUGUCAUAGGUUUAAUACAGACAGGUUAAGUUGACUAUCUAAUGGUAAAUAGGUGGUAUUUUAAUCAGUCUAUUAUUGUGUCUAUAAAUGAAAGUGUAAGCAUUCCACCUCAAGAGUAAUUUGGCAACAUUGGAACUGAAAUCAUUAGACCGUUUCUGAAACCAGUAGUGAAGUAUGUUGUUUAAUUAGAUGAUACACAAAAACCUUACCACAAUUUGAAUAUAUAUAAAUUAUAUUUACAAGCGCUGCACGGCUGUCUACAGUUAAUGUCGUGAGAUUUUGGUUAGCUCCAUUAAAUUGACGUAAACCCUAAUUUUAUUUAUAAAUAUAAUUAACAUUGCUAUAUAUGAUGUUUAAG
This 775-nucleotide ribosomal RNA is filed under the name Sticta aff. tomentosa 2 JAMD-2022. RNAcentral describes it as "SSU rRNA". Lineage: Eukaryota; Fungi; Ascomycota; Lecanoromycetes; Peltigerales; Lobariaceae. The record is from RNAcentral.